GACGAACGCUUUCGGCGUGCUUAACACAUGCAAGUCGAACGGAAAGGCCCUGCUUUUGUGGGGUGCUCGAGUGGCGAACGGGUGAGUAACACGUGAGUAACCUGCCCUUGACUUUGGGACAACUUCAGGAAACUGGGGCUAAUACCGGAUAGGAGCUCCUGCUGCAUGGUGGGGGUUGGAAAGUUUCGGCGGUUGGGGAUGGACUCGCGGCUUAUCAGCUUGUUGGUGGGGUAGUGGCUUACCAAGGCUUUGACGGGUAGCCGGCCUGAGAGGGUGACCGGCCACAUUGGGACUGAGAUACGGCCCAGACUCCUACGGGAGGCAGCAGUGGGGAAUAUUGCACAAUGGGCGGAAGCCUGAUGCAGCAACGCCGCGUGCGGGAUGACGGCCUUCGGGUUGUAAACCGCUUUCGCCUGUGACGAAGCGUGAGUGACGGUAAUGGGUAAAGAAGCACCGGCUAACUACGUGCCAGCAGCCGCGGUGAUACGUAGGGUGCGAGCGUUGUCCGGAUUUAUUGGGCGUAAAGGGCUCGUAGGUGGUUGAUCGCGUCGGAAGUGUAAUCUUGGGGCUUAACCCUGAGCGUGCUUUCGAUACGGGUUGACUUGAGGAAGGUAGGGGAGAAUGGAAUUCCUGGUGGAGCGGUGGAAUGCGCAGAUAUCAGGAGGAACACCAGUGGCGAAGGCGGUUCUCUGGGCCUUUCCUGACGCUGAGGAGCGAAAGCGUGGGGAGCGAACAGGCUUAGGUACCCUGGUAGUCCACGCUGUAAACGGUGGGUACUAGGUGUGGGGUCCAUUCCACGGGUUCCGUGCCGUAGCUAACGCUUUAAGUACCCCGCCUGGGGAGUACGGCCGCAAGGCUAAAACUCAAAGGAAUUGACGGGGCCCCGCACAAGCGGCGGAGCAUGCGGAUUAAUUCGAUGCAACGCGUAGAACCUUACCUGGGUUUGACAUGGAUCGGGAGUGCUCAGAGAUGGGUGUGCCUCUUUUGGGGUCGGUUCACAGGUGGUGCAUGGCUGUCGUCAGCUCGUGUCGUGAGAUGUUGGGUUAAGUCCCGCAACGAGCGCAACCCUUGUUCACUGUUGCCAGCACGUUAUGGUGGGGACUCAGUGGAGACCGCCGGGGUCAACUCGGAGGAAGGUGGGGAUGACGUCAAGUCAUCAUGCCCCUUAUGUCCAGGGCUUCACGCAUGCUACAAUGGCUGGUACAGAGAGUGGCGAGCCUGUGAGGGUGAGCGAAUCUCGGAAAGCCGGUCUCAGUUCGGAUUGGGGUCUGCAACUCGACCUCAUGAAGUCGGAGUCGCUAGUAAUCGCAGAUCAGCAACGCUGCGGUGAAUACGUUCCCGGGGCU
Molecule: ribosomal RNA, 1346 nt
Filed under: uncultured bacterium
Lineage: Bacteria
Description: partial 16S ribosomal RNA
Rfam family: Bacterial small subunit ribosomal RNA
Source: RNAcentral